Molecule: ribosomal RNA, 253 nt
Filed under: uncultured bacterium
Lineage: Bacteria
Description: partial 16S ribosomal RNA
Rfam family: Bacterial small subunit ribosomal RNA
Source: RNAcentral
UACGUAGGGGGCUAGCGUUGUCCGGAAUCAUUGGGCGUAAAGCGCGUGUAGGCGGCCCGGUAAGUCCGCUGUGAAAGUCGGGGGCUCAACCCUCGGAUGCCGGUGGAUACUGUCGGGCUUGAGUACGGAAGAGGCGAGUGGAAUUCCUGGUGUAGCGGUGGAAUGCGCAGAUAUCAGGAGGAACACCGAUAGCGAAGGCAGCUCGCUGGGACGGUACUGACGCUGAGGCGCGAAAGCGUGGGGAGCGAACAGG